RNAcentral lists this ribosomal RNA (274 nucleotides) under uncultured bacterium. Its description in RNAcentral is "partial 16S ribosomal RNA". It matches the Rfam family "Bacterial small subunit ribosomal RNA", at positions 523 to 796 of the family's 1533-position model. The record is from RNAcentral.
AUACGGAGGAUGCGAGCGUUAUCCGGAUUUAUUAGGUUUAAAGGGUGUGUAGGCGGUAUUUUAAGUCAGUGGUGAAAUCUCGGAGCUUAACUUCGAAACUGCCAUCGAUACUGGAAUACUAGAGUGUGGUUGAGGUAGGCGGAAUAUGUAAUGUAGCGGUGAAAUGCAUAGAUAUUACAUAGAACACCGAUUGCGAAGGCAGCUUACUAAACUAUAACUGACGCUGAUGCACGAAAGCGUGGGGAGCGAACAGGAUUAGAAACCCUAGUAGUCC